GUGGGGUUAUUAGGGAGGCUCCUGCAAUUGGCGGAGCGGCGGGAGGCGGUGGACGUGAGCCGCGAGCUGAUCAAGAUGACCAACAACACCGUCGCGCGCAUGGCCACGGGGCGGACCUGCGCGCCGGCGGAGGGGGAGAGCGGAGAGGCCGUCGACCCGGAGGAGUCGAUGAAGCUGGUGAAGCAGGUGGCGGAGCUGAUAGGGUCCUUCAACCUGAGCGACCACAUCUGGCUGCUCAGAGGGUUUGACCUCCAGGGCUGCAACCGCCGCAUCGAGGACGUCCUCCACCGGUUCGACACCAUGAUGGAGAGGAUUAUCAAGCAGAAGGAGGCGACGCGGGGGGCGAAGAGGGACGGCGGCGCCGCCUUGGAUCUGCUGGACAUCCUUCUCAACGCGUCGGAGGACAAGGACGCCGACGUCAAGCUCACCCGGGAGAAUAUCAAGGGAAUUAUUCUGGUAAACGCCCCCUCGCUGUGUCGCGUAGUAUUUAAAACGUUUUACUACUACCGUAGAACAGUAAAGCUAAUCUUUAUCUUCUUCCUCUUCUUCUGUGUAGGACAUCUUGACGGCGGGAUCGGACUCGUCGGCGGUGACGUUGGAGUGGGCGCUGACGGAGCUCAUCAACCACCCGGAGAUGCUUCAGAAAGCUCGGGAGGAGGUGGACAGGGUGGUCGGCCGGGAAAGGCUGGUGGAGGAAGCUGACAUCUCCGGCCUCCCCUACGUGCAGGCGGUGAUCAAGGAGACCCUCCGUCUCCACCCGGCGGCAGCCUUCGUCUCCCGAGAGUCCCGCAAGGACACCACCGUCUACGGCUAUCACAUCCCCGCGGGGACCAGUCUCUUCGUCAACAUCUGGUCCCUGGGGAAGGAUCCCAGCCAGUGGGUCGACCCGCUGGAGUUCCGCCCGGAGAGGUUCUUCUCCGGCGCCGACGAUGGCCAGCUGCUGCUGCAGCAGCAGCUCCGCUCUCUGCCGUUCGGCGGCGGGCGGCGGAUGUGCCCGGGGGCUGGGCUGGCGCAGCAGGUGGUGCAGACCGCGCUGGCGGCGCUGCUGCAGUGCUUCGACUGGCAACACAUCGGCAGGCAGGAUCUGGAGGAGGGGGUUGGGCUUGUGGUGCCCAGGAAGAAUCCCCUCGUCUGCGUCCCCGUGGCCCGGUCCAAGCCGCUUCCGGUCAACCGUACGAAAUUCUAUCCCUGAUCUGUCUAAUUUUCCGCGAGUAGGGGCCCUUCUGUGUCAACCCUAGUCAAAAUAAUGUCGCCAUUUCGAAAACCUCAUCCAUUCCGUCAUCUCGCGAGCGGGGUACUUUUAAUUGAAAACGAUCAAAAUUAAUAAUGUUGAACUCGUUGAAUAUGGUUUUCUGGCUCCCAGUAGAUAUACGAGAGUAAGAACAAAUUAAAAGUUGGCCCAAUAGAGAUGACUUUUUAAAAAGUAUAAACUCUCUGAAAAAUUCUUAUUAUAUAUUUCUAUACAAUUUUCUUAAAAUAUUUGAAAAAUUAUUAUUAUAUAUUUCUAUGUAACAUUUAAUACACAAAAGUAUUAAAUCAAGGAAUAUUAAACAAGUAUUUAGAUAUCAUCUUUAACUUGUUUGAAGUUGCAACACUUUUUAAUCAUCUGGUAACAUUUUUUAUGAGAAGAGAGUAACAAAAAUAAAGUCUCGAGCAGCAUCAUAUUCACCAACAUUAUAGACUAAUUGUCAGUCUACAUUAUCUUCUAAAUAUCUAUUCAUAGUAAAACCUAUCUAUUUAUUAUGAGAUGAACUUGUGAUUAAAAUAUUAUUUAACCAACAUACGAGCUGAAACCUAUACUUAGUUGUAGGCAUCUUAGAGUAAUGGUUAUAUAAGAGAAUUUUUUACAGAAAUUCUAAGAAAUUGAGCCUAAUAGGCAGAAGUUUACAAUUAGAUGAUCAAAUAUUUGCUCCGAGAGAAUGGGCAUGGGUAGUGUAAUGAACCACUAUAAAAUCUCUUUCUUACAACAUUGAUCUUGAAGGACCUUAGGACUAUAGAAACUAAGGAGAAGAUCAAUUAAUUUAAAGAGUUCUUGUUCUAAUGUCAAUGAGGAAUAAAUCAAUUUAAUCCACCCUCUUCUUGUUCUAAGUGUGGCAUAAAACCCAAUAAGUGAUAUUUAGAGCUUAUCUUUUUUAUAUGAGUGAUUUAUUUUAGUAGAUCUUAUGGCCAACACAUUGAGAUGUGAUUUAAAAGGGAACUUUGUCUAUUGGCCACAACUAUUUAAUGAAUUAAAUUAUAUUUUUCAGGAGCAAAAUAGAAAUCAUUGUACAAGGUCUAAACUAUCAGCUAUGGAAAAUCAAUAUGAAUGAAUCUUUGGUAGUUAAUAAGGAUGUAUUAGUAUAAUGAUGUAGAAAAACUCUAUGAACAUCCUAGUACCUUAAUAAAGGAGAAAGUUAAUCAUUAAAAAAUUUAAAAAAUAAAAUUAUAGAGUUAAAGAAACAAGUAAAAUCAUAUUUGAACAACUAAAUACCAAUAAGAAAUAUGAUAGUAUCUCAAUUUUAUAAGCAAUGUGAGGUAAAAAUAAUGUAAUGUUGCAUGACUUUCGUGAAAAUAAGUUAGAAUCAAUGAAAAAUAUAUUUCUUAACUUUUAUUAUUUUAUGUAAAAUUUAGUUAUUUUUCGAGAGUUAUUUCAACUAAAACACAUUGUCUAUUUAUAGUGGUCCGUCAACUACACUUGACAAUAUGGACGUAUGUCUAUUGAUUUGUGAUGCAUGAAUUAUUUAGCUCAUGGUUUCACAUCCCAAGACAACUUGGACUCCUUGCUCUAAAAGGUCACAAUUAAAAAGUGGUCAAAGAUAAAAUUUAAAAUAUCAAGAGAUUUCCUAAUGAUACUUAUAAGUACAGCUUCAUGUAAUAUCUAAGUUGAACCACAAGGAAUUGUCUAAACUAAUGGGAAAUAUAAAUUGACUACAAGUGAACUUUGAUGAAAUUUAAGGUGAGAAGAGAGUAGAUGAUGACUCUCAAUAUUUAAAGGAUAUAAUCCUUAAUAUUUUUGUGCUUUAUACCUUAUUUUUAAUUAAAAUGCUUGCAAAAUACUUUAGAUUAGAAAAGUUGGAUUUAAAAUGAUUUAUAUGAUUUUAAUGUUAAUUUAUAAGAAUUAGAUGAAGAAAUUAAUUAUUUAAUAUGAUGAAAUACUUCCUCACAUGUUUUUAUUUUUUACAUUAUGUUUAUAAAUUUAUUCUGAUUUUAUAGAAACAUUAAUGAAAUUUCAGAAACAUCAUUAAAUUCAGAAAAUCAGUGAAAAUCCAGAAGAAUCGGCAAAAAUCAUGCCGGAUGAUCGAUUGAUUCUCAAAGAGAAAUAAGCUAAGCAAAUUGACAAUUAUAAAUUCAAAAUCAUGUUAUAAUUCAAUGCAUUUCAUUUUUAUAGUUUAUAAUCGAUUAAACUAAUUAAAGAUCAAAUCUUUUUAGGGGUUUCAUGCUAAUGAGAGAUGCAUUGAUUGUGGCAAGAAAUACAAUAAAUUAGUAAAGCAAAUUGGCAAAAUAUGUGCAUAGGAAGAUUGAAAAGGUGUUUCCAGAAAAGAAGAAGGUAUAUUUGAUUAUUCUAUCUCCCUCUAAAUCGAAACCCCUCUUGUUUGGCUACUAUAGACGUUAGAUUUUGCCCAAUCGAUCCAUCUAAUACAAACGAUAGAUUUCAUCCAAAAUUUCCCCUCAUUAAGCUGUUAUAGAGGCUGAAAUUCUUCUAGGCAUCUUCCUGAUUCUUCCCCCGAUACAAACAGUGAAGAAUUUCUUCCAAUGAUCCUUCUCUAGAUGUUGUGGCACACUUGGAGUUGAAUCACCUUCACUAUUCAAUUUCAAAAAGUGAUAGUUGCUAGUAUUGUCAACCAUAGAGAAAGUGUGGGAUACCAAUCAAUGCACCGGUGUACAUAAAUUGAUUGUAUUUGGGUGGAAAUCUAAUUGACAACUACGUCGGCCAAUUCUUCUGUAAACUUUAAUUUAUGUUUAUUUUGAUUUUUUUUAGAUUCCAAUAAUACAUCUUUAAUGUAAAUUCUUUAUUUUAAUUAUUUCAACUUCGAUUUAAUCCAUUAUGAGUCGAUGUAUUUUUGGUGACUAUGAAUUUGGGGUUGUUCUUUGUGGGCUAAUGUUAGCUAACGUUAAUAAUACCUAAAUUCACAUUUUUUAGCUUUUUUUUAUAUAAAUUUUACCAAUAAUUAAUUCUAAAAAAAGAAUCUAUCAAUUGAAAAUAAUUAAUAAUUAAUAAUAUUUUAUCUUCCCUAUGAUCGAUGAUAAUAUCUCAUUGUUUAGAUGUAAUGUGAGUCAAAAUAAUAAAAUAUUGGAUGAAUUUCAUGAAAAUAAAUUAUAAUUAUUGAAGAAAAUGGUUUAAAGUGUUUUCAUAUUUUUUCGUGAAAUCUUAAUUUGGGUUAUAUAACAUUCAUCCCGCAUCAUAAACUUAUUAAGUUAUGGUACUAUCCUCUUCAAUAGAUUUUUAAACAUAGUCUAAGUCAACACCUUCAUUUUGAAAACAAUCUAUAGUAAAAUUUUUCAUUACUUUUUGUUACUAAACUUGUGAUUAAAGAUUGAUCCAAUUAUAUAAGAGAACUAUAAACUUUCUACUUAGUUGUUGUUUUGUAGUAUAGUUGAUAUGGAAGCCUAUUUCAAGGUGAAAUUUAUUGUGAGUUAAGUUCAGUAGUUAAUAUUUGUGAUUGAUGGAUACUAAAACUUAUAAAUUCCAAAAAUAAAGAUUUUAUUUAAGAGUAAACUUAUACAUAGGGCCAAACUAUUUCAAAAUAUCUUGCUAUAAUUAUAUAGCUAGUUGAAAUUAUUAAAUUUUUUUAGGCCACACUUACAUCAAGAAGUGGGGUUAAAUUAAUAAACUUUGAUAUUUUAUUGAGGUUGACUUCUCAUUACUCUUCCUAACAUUUUUCUCAUAUCCUAAUGUUUUGAUUUGUAAUGACCUAAAAAUAAAGCCCAUUAUGAUCUUUAAAUUAGUUUAUUUCCCUAUCUAUAAUGGCUCUCCAAGAAUAAUCAUUAUUCUUGAGUUCUACUAAGAUUGAACAUUUUUUAUCACAAUAGUUAAUUACUUGGUUCAACUCUCACAAAAUUUUACCUUGGAAUUAUCUUAUAUAUUUAUGGUUCUAAGAGGCCAAUAGUUGAAUAGCAAGUUAACUCUCUUGAGUGACUAAAUAAAAAAUUAAUCACAAGUUUUUCCCACAUAUAAUAUGAAAUAUUUUAUUAAAAAAUAUGCACCUAGAGUAUAUCUAAAGAUGAGGUGAAGAGAAUGAAGUUCGAGACCUGAUUUUUAUUGCCAUCCUCUUUGCAAGAUGUUAUCUAAUGAUGGAAAACUCUACAACUUAGAACUUGUUGAAGAUGGUUGACAAAUGCUUGAAUAAUAGUCCUCAACUCAAUACUUGCUCAUCAUUUGGCCAGCUAACAAAGUUUUCAAUAACUUUUUGAACCAACACAAAACUUUUUUUUUUCUCUCUAUAUUUGUGAUAAUUACAACUUAUGGCCUUCCAACCACUAAUAUUUUAUAAAAAACUUUUCAUUGCCCAACUCAAACUGAAUGCAAUGUUGUCAAAUUGAUGGUUGAUGUUGUAGAUAAUAUGAAGCCAAUAUGUGAAGUGAAAAGUCAAAAUUAUGAGUAUCGUUUACGAUGUCCACUAAAUUGUAGCUAGGGAUCAUUAACUUUCUUUGGUUAUUCAUUAGAUUCUUGGAGAGGCUUUCAAACAAUAUAUAAGUGACAAAUAAGCAUAGAGAAAUGUUCAUUUGCAGAGAUGCAGGAUGCUUAUCAAAAGAGGGGAAUUGCAUGUAAGAAAAGUGAAAAUCUUCAUGGACUAACUUUCGACAAUUGAAGUUUUGUGCAUUUCAAAUAGUGUUAAAUUGAUACCACUUUAAGAGAUGCCAUUUUGGCUUCCCUCUAGCCAAAACUAUUACAUCAUUUACAUGUGUCUUUAAUCUCAUUCGUUUUCUAAAAAAGCACAAGUUGUACUCUUCUUGGUAGAAAAUGAUGCCCUAUUAUAGCCAUGGACUUGGGGAGGUGAGUGAGUCAUGUCCUCUCACUUUUUUACAUAAAUGAGGAUAUCCUGACUAUAAUUUGAAUUUCUCUAACAAACAUUCUAUGUUCUUGAAAUGGAUCAUAUAGAAUAUUUUACAUUUUCGAUGAUCAUCUCUAUUUUAUGUAUUUGGGGAAUCCUCCUUAAUAGACGAAAAUAUUCAUAUUAUGUCAAUGCCAAAUUGAAGUAAUUUUGUUAGUAGUUAAUUCAAACUUUUUGGUAUUUUUGGUUUCGUUGUAUGAUACGAUAGGUCAAUCAUUUGCUUCAGUACUUCCAAUAAUGACAGUUGCAGAAUCUACUAUUGGAUUAGCCAUUUUUGUUACUAUUUUUCGAGUCCCACGAACUAUUGUCAUAAAAUUUAUAAAUUGCAUUCAAGGUUAAACAUAACGAUAUGAUAGUUACCAAAUACAAAACCCUUCCAUUCUUUUCAUUUUUUUCUCUAAAAAUAAAAGGGAUGAAAUAGAUUUUUGUUCAGAGCCCAUGUUCAAAAUUCAAUCGUCCUUUUCUCGCUCAUCAUAGACAUUCUUGGUGUCCUUUAUGGUGGGCCAAACAUCCUAACCCCACCAUGUGUAAAGACACUGCCACCAUAGGAGGAGAGGACCAGCAUAGGUCUCAUGACAUGUCUGUGGGUGGUAGACGAAUCUGUGGGUGGCAAGUGACCUAUGUGACCAGUAGACGAUGUCUGUGGGUGGGAGAUGAGGUCCACAAUAGCAAGAGAUGUCAUGGCGGUAGGAGACAUCUGCGGGCACCGUGAAUGUCGCCUGCUGCCCGCAGACGUUGCCUGCCACCUGUAGAGGUCGCCUGCUGGCCUCAAACGUCACUUGCCACCCAUGGACUCGCCUACCGCCUGCAGACAUCACCUACCACCCACGAAUGUCACCUACCCUGACUCCUCAUGGUCAAUGCUCUCUGCGAGGUUCCCCUUUGGGUCAUCUACAGCCGGCAUACUCACGCGUCCACUGCCCACACGCGGAGCAAUUCUCCCACCACCCAUCUGGCCAUGAAGUGUCAUGAUCCCUCCAUCAAAAGGGCAUGCAAAAUCAUCAGCAAUUUAGGUUUCAAGAUGCUAUCCCCGAACUCUACAAGAAGGCGGCUACCCCCUUGACCCCUACCAAUUGAUCACAUAGUUAGAUUCGUAAACACCUCACUAAAGAACUUGAUCCAAGAAUAGAAGACUGAUCAACAGAGUUUCCAUUCACUAUCCUCCAUUGCGUUGCACAACUCGAGGCUCACCACAUGGCUCAUUGUGUUGUACUAACAUCAAAGGUUUUCUCUUCACGCUUUGGUGACUUAUAUUAUUUUAUCUAUUAUUUUUUGUGUAUUUUUCUACCGUUGUCGAACUUAGUUUAAUAGAUUUAUGUCUUUUUGUGAUCAAUCGUCCAUAAUUUUGAAUUUAAAGCUUUACUUAUCGUAGUAGUUGAAAGAUAAUACUCUUGUGCUCGUUCGAGGAAUGGGGGUUGUACCAUCAUUAUUUUCUCUAGAUUUAAAAGUUUGAAUCAAUGAUAUAAUUUGUGGCUUGAUUUAUCCAUCCCUAUAUUGUCCUUACCCACCUGACCCCAAGUGUAUGGUACUUAUCAUGCAUCACCUUCAGGCUUUCAAACCAUCUGUAAUAUGUUAGGCUGCUUCUUAACCCUCAGCUCCAAGAGCUUGAAAGCACUGCAGCGCACUACCCUUACAAUCGUCCCCCGACUUGCUCUGCACUGAAAAACUGCAGCUUUCAUAUCUCCAGGAGGUGAGCCCGAGGGACACAGCCUUGGGCGUGCAUACAUCUAUAAAUAAACUAUCCCCAUGAGGGAUACUAUAUUGAGUCAUUGAUCCCCUUGAGCAUAUGCGCCUUAAUUUCUGAGUCAACAUCCCCCCGGGUAUUCACAUUAAUUUCUGAGCGCCAAUGUAUAUUAAUUUAUUAUAAAUAACCCUAAAAGCGGUCUGCCGCGCAUAUAUAAAUUAUUAUAAUACACUAACAGCGCGCUGGCGCGCAUAUGAAAAAUAUAUAAAUAUAUUUUAUAAUCGCGUGCGCCUGCGCCCGCGUGUGAGCAGUUCCUGAUACAUGACGUGCGUGCCCGCACGCCUCUGCAUGCCCGUGUGCCCGUAUUAGUCAAUCUUAUAAUAAUUAGGCACGAGUUGCAGAGACGGAAGCAAGUUGGCUCGAAACCACGGCGAAAAGAGGUUAGGCGCCUUAUUAUUGGCACACACCAUCGCUCCGAGCUUGAUGAUGAGCGAGAACCGUUGAAGAGUGACGCGCUAAAAAUAUAUGCAGACGCAUGGUGAGAGACGCGGGGACCGAGGAAAUCUCUGUCUCGCACGGCGCCCUGCUGGGUGGUCUGGGCGCAGAACGAGGUCCAAGGCCCGGCGGCGCCGCCCGCCGUCUGCUCGGCCCCAAGGUCCGCCGGCCGCUAGACGGGCUCUGCAGCAAGCACGCGCCGACCAUCAGCCUCUGCUUCGGCUCCAUCGCCGCCUCCGCCGCCUUCGCCGAGGCGGAGGAGCCACCGCCCACCCCCCCCCCCCCCCCCCUCGCCGCGGGCCUCCCGCCGACUUGCCUGCGACUCCGCCGGCGAGCUCAGUCAGCACGGCGGGACCCACCUGGGUUCGGCAAAGGAAAAUACUCCGAUUUUCCCGGGGAAUAAUGUGAUGAAUUUCAUGUGUAUAUGUUUCAUGACUCUGGAAUUUCCGCAAAUUAUUAAAAAAAUAUAUCCUUCACCAUCGAGAUAUUCUCGUCUGCGGUGGUCCUGCUGACGCGCCCACGUCACUUCACCGCCGUCAGAUAUAAAUCAGUGAAUCUGCACCGUCCAAUUCAACUACACCGUAUUUUUAAUCCGUACCGGUCAGUGACUUGGACCAAUGGCCUUCGCACGUCUCCCAUCGCGGACCAUGGAGUAGUUGGCCUUUGACCCGAAGCCAUGCACUUCGAGCGGUGGUCGGCGCUCAGGAGCUUCUAGAAGCCCUUGGACCUUGUUCUAGAAGCCGACACCGACGGUCAUGUAUGCCCUUCCACUCUCUUGACUCCAGUUUGGUGAUCCAUGAGUGAUGGAGAAUCCCGAAAUAGACGCAUUUAUUAUGGUUAUUUAUAGUAAAAUAAAUUUACUAUUUGUUGGUAAUUCCGCUGCUUGUCCCUCCCAACUCGAGCCAACUAAAUGGAUCGGAGUUUGACCCAAUAAUUAGCUGCCCAUUUGAGAAAGACGGCGGAGGGUCAGCCUGAGGUCAACUAUGUGGAGCCACCUGCCUCGUCCGGAAGAGAAAAAAGAGCCCCAUUCUAUUCUCUCGGAAAUAAUAUCCAAAUUUAAUAAUAUAUAUUUUUAAUUUCGUAUUUAUAUUUCAGGAAAAACGGGCCGUUGGGAAUUUCGGUGAAUAAAAAAAAUACUUUCAGUUGGAAGAUUUUCCUCUGCGGUGGGCCAAAUGACAUCUGCGCCGUCCGAUGGGCUCGGUGAAUCUGCACCGUCCAACUCACCUACCCCCACCACAAGACCGAAAAGAUCGCACCGGAGGCGAAGAGAAUGAAAAACCAAUUUAAUGAGAGAAAAUAAUUACUUAAAUUAUUUGUCUCAAUGAAAAAUAAUGAGCCAGGGGUAAUUAUCACUGUUUAUUUUUUAUUAAUUACCGGCGUUUUAGGCAGCUGGAGAGGGGAAAUAAUGACACUCUGCAUGCCUUCCCUGCCGUCAGAUGGGAUCGGGGAAUCCGCGCCGUCCAACUCACCUACUCAACCGCCAGGCCAACGUCCACGUGAGAGCAACCACCGCCCCGGGGCGAAGAAAGUAAAAACCGAUUUAAAUUAUCGAAAUUAAUCAAGUCGCUAUCAAUCGGGCACCGUAAUUAGUUAUAUUUUAUUUUUUAAAAAAAUAAAAUAAAAAAUUGGUGAGAGGCAUGAGCGGCCUUCUUGCGCGUCCCACGUGAGGCCACUUCCCCAGGGUCAGUGGGGGGAAACGGUCGAAUCCUCUUUCGCCCUCCAUGUUUAGUAAUAACUACGGCCAGUGCCAUUCCAACCUCCACCGCACGGGUCUGGGCCUAUUUUAGCAUUAUUUAUUAUUAUACUGAUGGCAAAUAUCCUGCAAAAUUGGGUAAAUUUGCCUGAAAGCAGGACGAAAAUGGGUCAAUUUCCUUAUUAGUGGCGAUGAGCGAGAAGGCUUUGAGAGCGGUGUAAUUUAUAUUAUAUAUAUAGGGGGAGCGAGGAUGGAGUGGCAGGACGGAGAGCAUGGAGGGGAUGGCGCCGUCGUACGCCGUCGCGCUGGUGGUCUUGGUGGGGACCGUCGCCUUCCUGGUGGUGAAGCUCUCCGGGGGAUCGUCCAAGGGGCGGCAGCCGCCGGCGCCGCCGGGGCUGCCCAUCGUCGGGCACCUCCAUCUGCUGGGUCCCAAGGUUCACCUGUCGUUCGACGGGCUCUGCAAGAAGUAUGGGCCGGUGAUCGGGCUCCGCUUCGGCUCCACCCCCGCCGUCAUCGUCUCCAGCAUGGAGGCGGCGGGGGAGUUCUUGAAAAGCCACGAUCUGGUGUUCUCAGACCGCCCGCAGUCGCGGGCGUCGCGCCGGUUCGCCUACGACUCCACGGGGUUCGCGUUCGCGCCCUACGGGGCCUACUGGCGGUUCCUGAAGAAGCUGGCGAUGACGGAGCUGCUCAGCGCGCGGACGGUGGAGCAGCUCCUGCCGGUGCGGCGGCAGGAGCUGGUGGGGCUGUUGGGGCGGCUCCUGCAGGCGGCGGAGAGGCGGGAGGCGGUGGACGUGAGCCACGAGCUGAUCCGGAUGACCAACAACACGGUCGCGCGCAUGGCCACGGGGCGGACCUGCGCGCCGGCGGAGGGGGAGAGCGGAGAGGGCGUCGACCCGGACGAGGCGAUGAAGCUGGUGAAAGAGGUGGCGGAGCUGAUAGGGUCCUUCAACCUGAGCGACCACAUCUGGCUGCUCCGGGGGUGGGACCUCCAAGGGUGCA
RNAcentral lists this long non-coding RNA (10903 nucleotides) under Spirodela polyrhiza (greater duckweed). RNAcentral's name for it is "long non-coding RNA (SPOL_LNC000474)". The record is from RNAcentral. Lineage: Eukaryota; Viridiplantae; Streptophyta; Magnoliopsida; Alismatales; Araceae.